RNAcentral lists this ribosomal RNA (472 nucleotides) under Streptococcus mitis. RNAcentral describes it as "bacterial SSU rRNA". It matches the Rfam family "Bacterial small subunit ribosomal RNA", at positions 28 to 485 of the family's 1533-position model. The record is from RNAcentral. Lineage: Bacteria; Bacillati; Bacillota; Bacilli; Lactobacillales; Streptococcaceae.
GACGAACGCUGGCGGCGUGCCUAAUACAUGCAAGUAGAACGCUGAAGGAGGAGCUUGCUUCUCUGGAUGAGUUGCGAACGGGUGAGUAACGCGUAGGUAACCUGCCUGGUAGCGGGGGAUAACUAUUGGAAACGAUAGCUAAUACCGCAUAACAGUAGAUGUUGCAUGACAUUUGCUUAAAAGGUGCAAUUGCAUCACUACCAGAUGGACCUGCGUUGUAUUAGCUAGUUGGUGGGGUAACGGCUCACCAAGGCGACGAUACAUAGCCGACCUGAGAGGGUGAUCGGCCACACUGGGACUGAGACACGGCCCAGACUCCUACGGGAGGCAGCUGUAGGGAAUCUUCGGCAAUGGACGGAAGUCUGACCGAGCAACGCCGCGUGAGUGAAGAAGGUUUUCGGAUCGUAAAGCUCUGUUGUAAGAGAAGAACGAGUGUGAGAGUGGAAAGUUCACACUGUGACGGUAUCUACCA